Molecule: ribosomal RNA, 678 nt
Filed under: uncultured bacterium
Lineage: Bacteria
Description: bacterial SSU rRNA
Rfam family: Bacterial small subunit ribosomal RNA
Source: RNAcentral
ACUGGCUCACGGGUGAGUAACGCGUGAACUUGUGCCUUUUUUCUGGGGAUACCGUUUGGACCCGAACUUUAAUACCGGAGUGCUUUAACUGCUCCUGCUUAUUUUCCAGGAAGAAAACAGCAAUUCGCGUUCUAUCGGCUCUGUGGUGGAGUAACGGCCUACCAUGGCUACGACGGAUAGCUGGUCUGACAGGAUGAUCAUCCACACUGGAACUGACACACCGGCCACACUCCCACGGGAGGCACUCCUGAGGAAUCUUGCACAAUGGAAUAAUGCCUGAUGCACCAACGCCUCAUGAAGGACCACCGCCUUCGGGAUGACAACCUCUGUCUUGAAGGAAGCAUAUUGACAGUACCAACUGAGGAAGCUUCUGCUAACUACGUGCCAGCAGCCGCGUGCCGACGUACGGAGCAAGCGUUGCGGGGAAUUACUGAGCGUAAAUAGCUCGUAGGCAGGCGCCUGCGUCUGAGAUGAUAUCUCUGAGCUUAACCUUGGGGCUGUCUCACAUACGCUGCUUCUUAUGGAGGUGAGAUGAAAGUGGACUUUCCCGUGUAGCAGUGAUAUGCGUAGAUAUCAGAAGGUACAUCAUGUGGGGAGACGACUUGCUGGAGCAUUCCUGAUGCUGCAGAGCUGAAGCUGAGUAGCGAACGGUGUGAGAUGACCAGAUUGAUCAGCCCG